RNAcentral lists this ribosomal RNA (497 nucleotides) under uncultured bacterium. Its description in RNAcentral is "partial 16S ribosomal RNA". It matches the Rfam family "Bacterial small subunit ribosomal RNA", at positions 28 to 507 of the family's 1533-position model. The record is from RNAcentral.
GACGAACGCUGGCGGCGUGCCUAAUACAUGCAAGUUGAGCGCUGAAGGUUGGUACUUGUACCAACUGGAUGAGCAGCGAACGGGUGAGUAACGCGUGGGGAAUCUGCCUUUGAGCGGGGGACAACAUUUGGAAACGAAUGCUAAUACCGCAUAAAAACUUUAAACACAAGUUUUAAGUUUGAAAGAUGCAAUUGCAUCACUCAAAGAUGAUCCCGCGUUGUAUUAGCUAGUUGGUGAGGUAAAGGCUCACCAAGGCGAUGAUACAUAGCCGACCUGAGAGGGUGAUCGGCCACAUUGGGACUGAGACACGGCCCAAACUCCUACGGGAGGCAGCAGUAGGGAAUCUUCGGCAAUAGACGAAAGUCUGACCGAGCAACGCCGCGUGAGUGAAGAAGGUUUUCGGAUCGUAAAACUCUGUUGGCAGAGAAGAACGUUGGUGAGAGUGGAAAGCUCAUCAAGUGACGGUAACUACCCAGAAAGGGACGGCUAACUACGUG